CAGUCGAACGAAACUUCUUUAUCACCGAGUGCUUGCACUCACCGAUACAGAGUUGAGUGGCGAACGGGUGAGUAACACGUGGGCAACCUGCCCAAAAGAGGGGGAUAACACUUGGAAACAGGUGCUAAUACCGCAUAACCAUAGUUACCGCAUGGUAACUAUGUAAAAGGUGGCUAUACUACCGCUUUUGGAUGGGCCCGCGGCGCAUUAGCUAGUUGGUAGGGUAAAGGCUUACCAAGGCAAUGAUGCGUAGCCGAAUUGAGAGGUUGAUCGGCCACAUUGGGACUGAGACACGGCCCAAACUCCUACGGGAGGCAGCAGUAGGGAAUCUUCCACAAUGGGCGAAAGCCUGAUGGAGCAACGCCGCGUGGGUGAAGAAGGUCUUCGGAUCGUAAAACCCUGUUGUUAGAGAAGAAAGUGCGUGAGAGUAACUGUUCACGUUUCGACGGUAUCUAACCAGAAAGCCACGGCUAACUACGUGCCAGCAGCCGCGGUAAUACGUAGGUGGCAAGCGUUAUCCGGAUUUAUUGGGCGUAAAGGGAACGCAGGCGGUCUUUUAAGUCUGAUGUGAAAGCCUUCGGCUUAACCGGAGUAGUGCAUUGGAAACUGGGAGACUUGAGUGCAGAAGAGGAGAGUGGAACUCCAUGUGUAGCGGUGAAAUGCGUAGAUAUAUGGAAGAACACCAGUGGCGAAAGCGGCUCUCUGGUCUGUAACUGACGCUGAGGUUCGAAAGCGUGGGUAGCAAACAGGAUUAGAUACCCUGGUAGUCCACGCCGUAAACGAUGAAUGCUAAGUGUUGGAGGGU
This 805-nucleotide ribosomal RNA is filed under the name uncultured bacterium. RNAcentral describes it as "bacterial SSU rRNA". It matches the Rfam family "Bacterial small subunit ribosomal RNA", at positions 59 to 831 of the family's 1533-position model. The record is from RNAcentral.